AUUUUGUAGACAGGUCCAGUUACAAAUAUUGAAACGAAUAUGUAAACUGAGUCCUAUUUCAUCUCAUGUUAGUUAAAGUGGUUUGUAUUUUGGUAUUCACUCCUAUUAGCAGCAAAAUGCAAGAAAUAAAAAUGUAUUAAAGAACAGUAGAGGCUGAACUAGCGUACAUGUCUCAUAUACUUUGGCUGUUUUCUUUUUCUCUGAAAUGGUUUAUUUGAAUUACAUUGGUGGCAUUGUGUCCAUAAGCAGUUCAGACAUGAUUAACCCCAAUGACAUGCUUACUACGCUCCCAUACACAGAAUGACUUUUGGCCUAAGAAACAUUUGUAAGACUACUCCUACCAAAACCAAAAUGAUAAUUGUUUUAUACUGGUCCAGUUUUCAGCUUCAUUUUGUUCUUCAAGUCACCUGAGGGAUAUUUCUGUGUUACCAGAAGAUGCCAUUUCAGUUUACAUCUUAAACUAUACUUUGUCCCCAGAUGAUGUUGUAAAAUGAAUUGCAUUCAGGCAGAGGCUUCUCAAGCACAACAGCUUCAUUUAAUAGUAUCAUAUAAGCAUUCAAAUCCCAGUCCCUGGAGUUCUCCCUUUGCUAACAGUUAUAGCAUCAGACCUAAACUGGCAAGGUGUUUUGGAGAAUGCAGUUUUUCUGAGUCAGUCAACUUAUAUUGUGAAAUAUAUAACAUAACUUUUUUUUUUUUUCUGUUUUAAACAAGGCAACCAAGAAACCUGAAGAAAUCAGAAGUCUUUUGUCGGCUUCUUAGCUUCAGAAAAGAGAAGAUGAGCUACAGAGACAGCAGAAGGAAACACUUUCUCUGUGACAGAAUAAGGAUGAUCUUCUUAUUGAGCUCUAGCCUCAAGAAGUUAGAUUUAGUGGCUCUAGACUGAGCUGUGCAAAAUGGAAUUGGAGAUAAAAAAUGGAGAGCUGAAGCUGAACAGCUACAAAAUGAACUGGGAAUAUCCAGUUAGUUACAUGGGCAGGCCAAAUAUUCAGCUGGAAGACCAGAAGACAAUGAUUCAGAAGCCCAGGGAGCCUUCAGUGGACAAUCAGAUUGUGCCUACAGCGGAAGAAUCUUGCUGGCAUAUUGCCUUUGCCACUCUAAAAUCUGAUUUCACAGAAUUUGAAAAGAAAGUAUGUCAAAACUUCAGUACAGUUGGAUGA
This 1157-nucleotide long non-coding RNA is filed under the name Strigops habroptila (Kakapo). RNAcentral's name for it is "lncRNA (ENSSHBG00005007109.1)". Lineage: Eukaryota; Metazoa; Chordata; Aves; Psittaciformes; Psittacidae. The record is from RNAcentral.